GAACGCUGGCGGCGUGCCUAAUACAUGCAAGUCGAGCGAACAGAUGAGGAGCUUGCUCCUCUGACGUUAGCGGCGGACGGGUGAGUAACACGUGGAUAACCUACCUAUAAGACUGGGAUAACUUCGGGAAACCGGAGCUAAUACCGGAUAAUAUAUUGAACCGCAUGGUUCAAUAGUGAAAGACGGUUUUGCUGUCACUUAUAGAUGGAUCCGCGCCGCAUUAGCUAGUUGGUAAGGUAACGGCUUACCAAGGCAACGAUGCGUAGCCGACCUGAGAGGGUGAUCGGCCACACUGGAACUGAGACACGGUCCAGACUCCUACGGGAGGCAGCAGUAGGGAAUCUUCCGCAAUGGGCGAAAGCCUGACGGAGCAACGCCGCGUGAGUGAUGAAGGUCUUCGGAUCGUAAAACUCUGUUAUUAGGGAAGAACAAAUGUGUAAGUAACUAUGCACGUCUUGACGGUACCUGAUCAGAAAGCCACGGCUAACUACGUG
Molecule: ribosomal RNA, 494 nt
Filed under: uncultured bacterium
Lineage: Bacteria
Description: partial 16S ribosomal RNA
Rfam family: Bacterial small subunit ribosomal RNA
Source: RNAcentral